RNAcentral lists this ribosomal RNA (468 nucleotides) under uncultured bacterium. RNAcentral describes it as "partial 16S ribosomal RNA". It matches the Rfam family "Bacterial small subunit ribosomal RNA", at positions 28 to 507 of the family's 1533-position model. The record is from RNAcentral.
GACGAACGCUGGCGGCGUGCUUAACACAUGCAAGUCGAACGGAAAGGCCCUGCUUUUGUGGGGUGCUCGAGUGGCGAACGGGUGAGUAACACGUGAGUAACCUGCCCUUGACUUUGGGAUAACUUCAGGAAACUGGGGCUAAUACCGGAUAGGAGCUCCUGCUGCAUGGUGGGGGUUGGAAAGUUUCGGCGGUUGGGGAUGGACUCGCGGCUUAUCAGCUUGUUGGUGGGGUAGUGGCUUACCAAGGCUUUGACGGGUAGCCGGCAUGGGAGGGGGACCGGCCACAAUGGGACUGAGAUACGGCCCAGACGCCUACGGGAGGCAGCAGUGGGGAAUAUUGCACAAUGGGCGGAAGCCUGAUGCAGCAACGCCGCGUGCGGGAUGACGGGCUUCGGGUUGUAAACCGCUUUCGCAUGUGACGAAGCGUGAGUGACGGUAAUGGGUAAAGAAGCACCGGCUAACUACGUG